UAAACCAUGCACCGAAGCUGCGGCAGCGACGCUUAUGCGUUGUUGGGUAGGGGAGCGUUCUGUAAGCCUGUGAAGGUGUGCUGUGAGGUAUGCUGGAGGUAUCAGAAGUGCGAAUGCUGACAUAAGUAACGAUAAAGCGGGUGAAAAGCCCGCUCGCCGGAAGACCAAGGGUUCCUGUCCAACGUUAAUCGGGGCAGGGUGAGUCGACCCCUAAGGCGAGGCCGAAAGGCGUAGUCGAUGGGAAACAGGUUAAUAUUCCUGUACUUGGUGUUACUGCGAAGGGGGGACGGAGAAGGCUAUGUUGGCCGGGCGACGGUUGUCCCGGUUUAAGCGUGUAGGCUGGUUUUCCAGGCAAAUCCGGAAAAUCAAGGCCGAGGCGUGAUGACGAGGCACUACGGUGCUGAAGCAACAAAUGCCCUGCUUCCAGGAAAAGCCUCUAAGCAUCAGGUAACAUCAAAUCGUACCCCAAACCGACACAGGUGGUCAGGUAGAGAAUACCAAGGCGCUUGAGAGAACUCGGGUGAAGGAACUAGGCAAAAUGGUGCCGUAACUUCGGGAGAAGGCACGCUGAUACGUAGGUGAAGCGACUUGCUCGUGGAGCUGAAAUCAGUCGAAGAUACCAGCUGGCUGCAACUGUUUAUUAAAAACACAGCACUGUGCAAACACGAAAGUGGACGUAUACGGUGUGACGCCUGCCCGGUGCCGGAAGGUUAAUUGAUGGGGUUAGCGCAAGCGAAGCUCUUGAUCGAAGCCCCGGUAAACGGCGGCCGUAACUAUAACGGUCCUAAGGUAGCGAAAUUCCUUGUCGGGUAAGUUCCGACCUGCACGAAUGGCGUAAUGAUGGCCAGGCUGUCUCCACCCGAGACUCAGUGAAAUUGAACUCGCUGUGAAGAUGCAGUGUACCCGCGGCAAGACGGAAAGACCCCGUGAACCUUUACUAUAGCUUGACACUGAACAUUGAGCCUUGAUGUGUAGGAUAGGUGGGAGGCUUUGAAGUGUGGACGCCAGUCUGCAUGGAGCCGACCUUGAAAUACCACCCUUUAAUGUUUGAUGUUCUAACGUGGACCCGUGAUCCGGGUUGCGGACAGUGUCUGGUGGGUAGUUUGACUGGGGCGGUCUCCUCCUAAAGAGUAACGGAGGAGCACGAAGGUUGGCUAAUCCUGGUCGGACAUCAGGAGGUUAGUGCAAUGGCAUAAGCCAGCUUGACUGCGAGCGUGACGGCGCGAGCAGGUGCGAAAGCAGGUCAUAGUGAUCCGGUGGUUCUGAAUGGAAGGGCCAUCGCUCAACGGAUAAAAGGUACUCCGGGGAUAACAGGCUGAUACCGCCCAAGAGUUCAUAUCGACGGCGGUGUUUGGCACCUCGAUGUCGGCUCAUCACAUCCUGGGGCUGAAGUAGGUCCCAAGGGUAUGGCUGUUCGCCAUUUAAAGUGGUACGCGAGCUGGGUUUAGAACGUCGUGAGACAGUUCGGUCCCUAUCUGCCGUGGGCGCUGGAGAACUGAGGGGGGCUGCUCCUAGUACGAGAGGACCGGAGUGGACGCAUCACUGGUGUUCGGGUUGUCAUGCCAAUGGCACUGCCCGGUAGCUAAAUGCGGAAGAGAUAAGUGCUGAAAGCAUCUAAGCACGAAACUUGCCCCGAGAUGAGUUCUCCCUGACCCUUUAAGGGUCCUGAAGGAACGUUGAAGACGACGACGUUGAUAGGCCGGGUGUGUAAGCGCAGCGAUGCGUUGAGCUAACCGGUACUAAUGAACCGUGAGGCUUAACCUUACAACGCCGAAG
This 1776-nucleotide ribosomal RNA is filed under the name Shigella flexneri. RNAcentral describes it as "partial 23S ribosomal RNA". It matches the Rfam family "Bacterial large subunit ribosomal RNA", at positions 1183 to 2925 of the family's 2925-position model. Lineage: Bacteria; Pseudomonadati; Pseudomonadota; Gammaproteobacteria; Enterobacterales; Enterobacteriaceae. The record is from RNAcentral.